AACGAACGCUGGCGGCAGGCCUAACACAUGCAAGUCGAACGUGAAGCCACCUUCGGGUGGUGGAAAGUGGCAGACGGGUGAGUAACGCGUGGGAACCUACCUGGUAGUACGGAAUAACUCAGAGAAAUUUGGGCUAAUACCGUAUACGCCCCUAGGGGGAAAGAUUUAUCGCUAUCAGAUGGGCCCGCGUUGGAUUAGCUAGUUGGUGGGGUAACUGCCUACCAAGGCUACGAUCCAUAGCUGGUCUGAGAGGAUGAUCAGCCACACUGGGACUGAGACACGGCCCAGACUCCUACGGGAGGCAGCAGUGGGGAAUAUUGGACAAUGGGCGCAAGCCUGAUCCAGCCAUGCCGCGUGAGUGAAGAAGGCCCUAGGGUUGUAAAGCUCUUUCACCGGUGAAGAUAAUGACGGUAACCGGAGAAGAAGCCCCGGCUAACUUCGUG
Molecule: ribosomal RNA, 443 nt
Filed under: uncultured bacterium
Lineage: Bacteria
Description: bacterial SSU rRNA
Rfam family: Bacterial small subunit ribosomal RNA
Source: RNAcentral